UCUGUAGUGACCUGCUAAAGGUCAUUCUUGGCCGUAUUUUUAGUUCCCACGUGGAGAAGCAGGAAGUGGUAGCAAUCCGAAGGUUUGAUCAGAUUUGCAAUACUCUCGGUCACACCCUGAAUUGUAGCUCCUGCAGCUAUAAAUGUGUCCUUGACAGUCUCCUGCACAUAGGCACCGCUCUCACAUAUGGAGGAGUAAAGCAGACAUGUUCAGGAGGUGCUGCAGAUUGUUAGCAGAGAGGAUGCAGUGAGGGAAUCGUUACCAAUCCAUGAGAAAACAUUCACUCUUAUCCCAUGUCAGAGCAGCUGCACAUGAUGGACAAUCAACUGUGGACUUUAGGAACAAGCACUGAGUGAUGGAAUAACUAUGCAGGGUUGGGACAACAUGCAGCAACUGGAGAACUUUCAGAUGUGCAAAAGCCACGUUCCUAGAAUUGUGUGAGGAGCUCAUGUCAGCCCUCUGACACCGGGACACAGAAUGAGAGCAUCACUAAAGGUGAAGAAGUGAGUAGCGAUCACUGUAAGGAAGCUAGCAAAGCCAGACUCCUACUGAUCAGCUGCAAAACAGUUUAGAGUUGGUAAAUCUACUGUGGGUGUUGCAGUGAUGCAAGCACACAGUGUCCAUAAACUACCUCCUACUAUGAAGGGCUGUGAAUUUCGGCUAUGUGCAUGUAAUAGUGGGUGAUUUUGCAGCAGUGGGAUUCUCUAACUGCAGUGGGACAAUAAAUGGUAUGGAUGUCCUAGCAUGCCUGCCCUGAAGUACAUCAACAAGACGGGAUAUUUGUCUAUGAUUUUGCAAGUGCUAGUGGAUCAUUGGGGUCAUUUCAUUGACAUCAGCAUGGCUGAUCAGGGAAGGUGCAUGAUGCCUAAAUCUUUAAGAACACAGGCUUAUGCAGAAAGCUGCAAGCAAAGACUUUCUAGAUCAGAGGAUUACCACUGGGAACAUGGAAAUGCCAAGAGUGAUCCUGAGAGAUGCAGCUUACCUCGGAAUACCAUGACUCAUGAAGCCGUACAUCAGCCAUCUUGACAGCAUAAAGGAGUACUUCAGCAACAGGCUCAGCAGAUGGAUAAUCACUGUCGCAUGUGCUUUUAGUUAAUUGAAAGGCUGCUGGCAUUGUCUACUUAUGAAAUGAGAUCUCCGUGAAAUAAAUGAUGCAGAAAGUGA
Non-coding RNA from Pelodiscus sinensis (Chinese soft-shelled turtle), 1164 nucleotides. Lineage: Eukaryota; Metazoa; Chordata; Testudines; Trionychidae. The record is from RefSeq and is a predicted model, not a curated record.